AUGGCGCCCAUCAAGCUGUACGGGAUGAUGCUGUCGGCCAACGUGACCCGCGUGACCACGCUGCUCAACGAGCUCGGCCUCGAGUUCGACUUCGUCGACGUCGACCUCCGCACCGGCGCCCACAAGCACCCCGACUUCCUCAAGCUCAACCCUUUCGGCCAGAUCCCCGCGCUGCAGGACGGGGACGAAGUUGUCUUUGAGUCGCGCGCCAUCAACCGGUACAUCGCGACCAAGUACGGGGCGGAGCUGCUGCCGACGCCGUCGGCCAAGCUGGAGGCGUGGCUGGAGGUGGAGUCGCACCACUUCUACCCGCCGGCGCGCACGCUGGUGUACGAGCUGGUCAUCAAGCCCAUGCUGGGCGCCCCCACCGACGCGGCCGAGGUGGACAAGAACGCCGCCGACCUCGCCAAGCUGCUCGACGUCUACGAGGCCCACCUCGCCGCCGGCAACAAGUACCUGGCCGGCGACGCCUUCACGCUCGCCGACGCCAACCACAUGUCCUACCUCUUCAUGCUCACCAAGAGCCCCAAGGCGGACCUGGUGGCCUCCCGCCCGCACGUCAAGGCCUGGUGGGAGGAGAUCUCCGCCCGCCCCGCCUGGGCCAAGACCGUCGCCUCCAUCCCCCUCCCGCCCGGCGUCUGA
RNAcentral lists this ribosomal RNA (642 nucleotides) under Triticum aestivum (bread wheat). Its description in RNAcentral is "partial small subunit ribosomal RNA". Lineage: Eukaryota; Viridiplantae; Streptophyta; Magnoliopsida; Poales; Poaceae. The record is from RNAcentral.